UUCGGGGAGUGAGUGCUGGUAUGAGUCUGUCAUCCUUCUAGAGGGCCAUGCCUGCUGUUCAUUCAGCUGGGCGUGUGCUAUCUAGAUCUUUUACUUUGAAAAAAUUAGAGUGUUUAAAGCAGGCUUACGCUGUGAAUACAUUAGCAUGGAAUAAUAAUAUAGGACUUUGGUCUUAUUUUGUUGGUUCUGAGGACUGAAGUAAUGAUUGAUAGGGAUAGUUGGGGGUGCUAGUAUUCAGUGGCCAGAGGUGAAAUUCUUGGAUUCACUGAAGACUAACUACUGCGAAAGCAUUCACCAAGGAUGUCUUCUUUAAUCAAGAACGAAAGUUGGGGGAUCGAAGACGAUCAGAUACCGUCGUAGUCUCAACCAUAAACGAUACCGACUAAGGAUCAGCAGACGUCUUUUUUCGACUCUGUUGGCACUUUACGAGAAAUCAAAGUGCUUGGGCUCCAGGGGGAGUAUGGUCGCAAGGCUGAAACUUAAAGAAAUUGACGGAAGGGCACCACCAGGGGUGGAGCCUGCGGCUUAAUUUGACUCAACACGGGGAAACUCACCAGGUCCAGACACAAUGAGGAUUGACAGAUUGAGAGCUCUUUCUUGAUUUUGUGGGUGGUGGUGCAUGGCCGUUCUUAGUUGGUGGAGUGAUUUGUCUGCUUAAUUGCGAUAACGAACGAGACCUUAACCUGCUAAAUAGCCCGUAUUGCUUUGGCAGUACGCUGGCUUCUUAGAGGGACUAUCGG
Molecule: ribosomal RNA, 740 nt
Filed under: uncultured eukaryote
Lineage: Eukaryota
Description: bacterial SSU rRNA
Rfam family: Eukaryotic small subunit ribosomal RNA
Source: RNAcentral